CCUGGGGAGUACGGCCGCAAGGUUAAAACUCAAAUGAAUUGACGGGGGCCCGCACAAGCGGUGGAGCAUGUGGUUUAAUUCGAUGCAACGCGAAGAACCUUACCUGGUCUUGACAUCCACAGAACUUAGCAGAGAUGCUUUGGUGCCUUCGGGAACUGUGAGACAGGUGCUGCAUGGCUGUCGUCAGCUCGUGUUGUGAAAUGUUGGGUUAAGUCCCGCAACGAGCGCAACCCUUAUCCUUUGUUGCCAGCGGUUAGGCCGGGAACUCAAAGGAGACUGCCAGUGAUAAACUGGAGGAAGGUGGGGAUGACGUCAAGUCAUCAUGGCCCUUACGACCAGGGCUACACACGUGCUACAAUGGCAUAUACAAAGAGAAGCGACCUCGCGAGAGCAAGCGGACCUCAUAAAGUAUGUCGUAGUCCGGAUUGGAGUCUGCAACUCGACUCCAUGAAGUCGGAAUCGCUAGUAAUCGUAGAUCAGAAUGCUACGGUGAAUACGUUCCCGGGCCUUGUACACACCGCCCGUCACACCAUGGGAGU
This 539-nucleotide ribosomal RNA is filed under the name Klebsiella quasipneumoniae subsp. similipneumoniae. Its description in RNAcentral is "bacterial SSU rRNA". It matches the Rfam family "Bacterial small subunit ribosomal RNA", at positions 872 to 1411 of the family's 1533-position model. The record is from RNAcentral. Lineage: Bacteria; Pseudomonadati; Pseudomonadota; Gammaproteobacteria; Enterobacterales; Enterobacteriaceae.